Molecule: non-coding RNA, 110 nt
Organism: Acanthosepion pharaonis
Lineage: Eukaryota; Metazoa; Mollusca; Cephalopoda; Sepiida; Sepiidae
Source: the annotation of a GenBank genome assembly
UGCCUAUAUCACAUUGAAACACCGGUUCUCAUAUGAUCACCAUAGUUAAGCAUGCCAAGCCUGGUCAGUAACUAGAUAGGUGACCACUUGGGAAUACCAGGUACUGUAAG